This is an RNA transcript of Syzygium oleosum, 768 nucleotides long. RefSeq lists it as uncharacterized. The transcript is spliced from 2 exons. NCBI's taxonomy places the organism in Eukaryota, Viridiplantae, Streptophyta, Magnoliopsida, Myrtales, Myrtaceae. The record is from RefSeq and is a predicted model, not a curated record.
CUCGUGGGGUCGACCAUGGAUAAAGCCAUGAGAGGAACGUUGAUCUUCGUCUGCUCGCUUGUUUUGCUUUCGUCUGUAUUGGCAGAGCAACCCUUGGUAGCGGAUGAUCGUCGUCAUCCCGAGCAGAAACCUCGGUCGAUGGUUCAUCGGAUUAUGAGCAGCGCGUCGUCACUCAACCGGGAAAAGCUUGCCACCCUCGCUCGCCAAGCCCACGCCUACUUCUUCCCCCCCGAACCUCGAUUUUAGGGGAGGACCGGGGGACGAUGGGAAAGGAGGUGGGGCGGCCAAGGAAGUGGGGGAGAAGGUGAGAGAGGCGGUGGCCAAAAGCUUGGAGAAGGGGAAGUCCGCGGUGGAGGGUUUGGCCAAAUCCGCCGCGAAGAUGGCGGAUGCGAGUGCCCACAAGGCGGCGGAGAAAGUCAAGAAGACGCUGUCAGAACUCUAGUCCCCUCAUUGUAAGAGAUGUCAUUGUUGGUUAUGCUAGUUUGAUGCAUCUUGGUGGGGGAGAGUCCUUUUGGGACACACAGUCAUGCGAUGAAGAUGGAAACUCGUCGACCAAGCACAGUGAUUAAGCAUGGAUCUGCUGCUGCAACAUGAGAUUGGUCCACUCCAGGCUGAUAAUUCCAUCUUUAAAUCGUGCAGACUUAUAACACGUUAUGAAAUGGACUUUGGGAAAUUCUGGGUAUGGUUCAGCCUACAUGGUUACUUGGAUAGGAAAACCUAAUCCCCAUGAAGUUUGUCUGCUAUGUUAAAUUGUAAUUUUCAAAGUUU